Molecule: small RNA, 3183 nt
Filed under: Pan troglodytes (chimpanzee)
Lineage: Eukaryota; Metazoa; Chordata; Mammalia; Primates; Hominidae
Description: retained intron
Source: RNAcentral
GUCCCGCCAUGGCUCUGAGGCGCGCCCUGCCCGCGCUGCGCCCCUGCAUUCCCCGCUUCGUCCCGCUGUCCACGGCGCCGGCCUCCCGCGAGCAGCCCGCAGCGGGCCCAGCGGCCGUGCCAGGAGGUGGGUCGGCCAGGGCAGUGCGGCCGCCGGUGCCCGCCGUGGACUUUGGCAACGCGCAGGAGGCGUACCGCAGCCGGCGAACCUGGGAGCUGGCGCGCAGCCUGCUGGUGCUGCGCUUGUGCGCCUGGCCCGCGCUGCUGGCGCGCCACGAGCAGCUGCUGUAUGUUUCCAGGAAACUUCUAGGACAGAGGCUAUUCAACAAGCUCAUGAAGAUGACCUUCUAUGGGCAUUUUGUAGCCGGGGAGGACCAGGAGUCCAUCCAGCCCCUGCUUCGGCACUACAGGGCCUUCGGUGUCAGCGCCAUCCUGGACUAUGGAGUGGAGGAGGACCUGAGCCCCGAGGAGGCAGAGCACAAGGAGAUGGAGUCCUGCACCUCAGCUGCGGAGAGGGAUGGCAGUGGCACGAGUAAGCGGGACAAGCAAUACCAGGCCCACCGGGCCUUCGGGGACCGCAGGAAUGGUGUCAUCAGUGCCCGCACCUACUUCUACGCCAAUGAGGCCAAGUGCGACAGCCACAUGGAGACAUUCUUGCGCUGCAUCGAAGCCUCAGGUAGAGUCAGCGAUGACGGCUUCAUAGCCAUUAAGCUCACGGCACUGGGGAGACCCCAGUUUCUGCUGCAGUUCUCAGAGGUGCUGGCCAAGUGGAGGUGCUUCUUUCACCAAAUGGCUGUGGAGCAAGGGCAGGCGGGCCUGGCUGCCAUGGACACCAAGCUGGAGGUGGCGGUGCUGCAGGAAAGUGUCGCAAAGAUGGGCAUCGCAUCCAGGGCUGAGAUUGAGGACUGGUUCACGGCAGAGACCCUGGGAGUGUCUGGGUGAGAGCAGCCCCCAGGCUGAGAGGACACGAGCAUCAGCCAUGGUUCCAGCCAAGCCCCAGUGACGUCUCCCAGUCCUGGCUGCCCUGCCUGAGAGGGUGGGCCCUGGGAUGACAGUGCUGAAGGAACUGCUUUUCACACAGCAGGACUUGAUGGCUUCAGGAGUCCCUGAGGCUGGGGCUGGGCUGGGCAGGGGAGACACAGGGCCAGCACAGACCCCAUAGAGGGCUCUUUAUAGAAUUAUCUGGGUCUAGAGCAAAGGUGGCACUCUCAGCCCUCCCUGGAGUCCACGCUGGCAGGUGAAGGAUCAGAGCCCCAUGCCCCAUCCUUGGAGCCAGGGGCUGGGACCCAGGUCACCAGGAGCCUCCAGUUGAAGUGGGGAGGUGACUGGGGUGGUGCAGUAGUGAGCCAUCCCCUCACACACUGUCAGCCUUGCCCACUGUGUCCUCCCUGGCCCCCCAGAGCUGUGUCCGCCUCCUGCCUGGCUGCCUGUGCUCGGCCCGUCCACAAGCCCAAAACAGCCCUAGGGUACUCAGUGUUUUCAGAGCCGCCUAGAUGCAGGACUGUUUGUGUUUUGGUUUUAAAUUUUUUAAAUUAAUUUAUUUUUUAUAGAGACCAGGUCUCACCAUGUUGCCCAGGCUGGCUUCAAACCCCUGGGCUCAAGUGGCCUGCCCGCUGUAGCCUCCCAAAGUGCUGGGAUUAUAAGUUUGAGCCACCACACGCCACUGGUUUUAAAUUUUUAAACAGAAAACAAUAUUUAUAUUUCCUCUAUCUUUUAAAACUGAACACCGAGGUGGGUUUUGUGGUGGGUGGUGAACGGACAGGUUUGGGCCUCGAUCCCCCACCCGACCCUAGCACCCAGAGGUGGGGGUGCCCCCUCUGCUGAUGCGCCUCCUCCCUCAGCACCGUGGACCUGCUGGACUGGAGCAGCCUCAUCGACAGCAGGACCAAGCUGUCCAAGCACCUGGUAGUCCCCAACGCACAGACAGGACAGCUGGAGCCCCUGCUGUCCCGGUUCACUGAGGAGGAGGAGCUACAGAUGACGAGGAUGCUACAGCGGAUGGAUGUCCUGGCCAAGAAAGCCACAGAGAUGGGCGUGCGGCUGAUGGUGGAUGCCGAGCAGACCUACUUCCAGCCGGCCAUCAGCCGCCUGACGCUGGAGAUGCAGCGGAAGUUCAAUGUGGAGAAGCCGCUCAUCUUCAACACAUACCAGUGCUACCUCAAGGAUGCCUAUGACAAUGUGACCCUGGACGUGGAGCUGGCUCGCCGUGAGGGCUGGUGUUUUGGGGCCAAGCUGGUGCGGGGCGCAUACCUGGCCCAGGAGCGAGCCCGUGCGGCAGAGAUUGGCUAUGAGGACCCCAUCAACCCCACGUACGAGGCCACCAACGCCAUGUACCACAGGUGCCUGGACUACGUGCUGGAGGAGCUGAAGCACAACGCCAAGGCCAAGGUGAUGGUGGCCUCCCACAAUGAGGACACAGUGCGCUUCGCACUGCGCAGGAUGGAGGAGCUGGGCCUGCAUCCUGCUGACCACCAGGUGUACUUUGGACAGCUGCUAGGCAUGUGUGACCAGAUCAGCUUCCCGCUGGGUGAGUGGGGCCCUCCCUGGUGCGAUGGGGUACGGUGCUGGGCCUGGGCCUCAUGGUGUAUCUGCCCCCAUGCAGGCCAGGCCGGCUACCCCGUGUACAAGUACGUGCCCUAUGGCCCCGUGAUGGAGGUGCUGCCCUACUUGUCCCGCCGUGCCCUGGAGAACAGCAGCCUCAUGAAGGGCACCCAUCGGGAGCGGCAGCUGCUGUGGCUGGAGCUCUUGAGGCGGCUCCGAACUGGCAGCCUCUUCCAUCGCCCUGCCUAGCACCCGCCAGCCCACCCUCAGCCUCCAGCACCCCCGGCCCCCACCCAGGCCAUCACCACAACUGCAGCCAACCCCAUCCUCACACAGAUUCACCUUUUUUCACCCCACACUUGCAGAGCUGCUGGAGGUGGAGUCAGGUGCCUCCCAGCCCUGCCAAUGGUGGGGGCACUCAGGUGUGGGCUGACCCUGAUACCUGCCUGGGAUAGCCGCUGGUAACUGUUAGGAACUUUCCUCGGAUGUGUGGGCCCAAGGCCCCCACCUCUGUGACCCCCAUGUCCUUGGACCUAGAGGAUUGUCCACCUUCUGCCAAGGCCAGCCCACACAGCCCGAGCCCCUCGGGGAGCAGUGGCCGGGCUGGGGAGGCCUGCCUGGUCAAUAAACCACUGUUCCUGCA